Molecule: non-coding RNA, 102 nt
Organism: Armillaria fumosa
Lineage: Eukaryota; Fungi; Basidiomycota; Agaricomycetes; Agaricales; Physalacriaceae
Source: the annotation of a GenBank genome assembly
GGUUUGAUGGUCUAGUAGUAUGAUUCCUUGUUAGGGUUUGCGAGAUACCCUAAGUGAUCUUAAUUAUCGAGGAGGUCCUGGGUUCAAUUCCCAGUCAAGCCC